GCAGCGAGAGAAUCAGGUUUGACGUAGUGUAGGAAGUAGUUUUUAGAUUUGCCCCCUCAGUAAACGUGGGUUCCUUUUAUCAUAAAUGCUGAAAUCAAUUUUCUUCGACGGAGUUAAUUGAUUAGAGAGUAUUUCCUAAAAUGCAGAUUAUCAGGGAAGUGAAAUAUGAAGGUGAAUGAAGAGGAAUCGAUCUCUUACAGCUAACGAUUCAGAUCACCAUAUCAGCCUGAGCAUGAAUGUAGUGACCAGUAACCAAAGGAUGCUUAAACGUCUCUUCACACUGUCACCACCUGGAAAAGAAGAACCACAAACAUCACAUCACUAAACAGCGGCACGGAUGUGGUUGGCAACGUGACAGUGCAGAAGCCACGUUCCAUUGACCUCGGCCACCAUUUCCAACGUCUGAAAUGCUCCUGGGAUCAGGUCAUACACAUCAGUACGGGGAGGGCUCCAAGCUCGGAAUUUGGCCCGAACCCAGAGUAUUCCCCCCAUAUCCAGUUAAGAGAGGAGGGGUGUUGGAGGGAUGCUGGAAAAACUGGUGUGUAACAGAGGUGAAAUAUGGAGUCAAAUGGUGGGAUUUUCAUCUUCCUCUACCUGGGAUGACAGCUUCAGGUUUAGAAGUCGAGGUUCUGACUCCAUGUGCUUGUAUUGAGUAAGGAUGACUAGCUUUAUUCAUGAAUGUGAUCAGCAAAAUCUGGCCAACUUCAGCUCUAAUUACAGGUCCUAUAAUAUAAAACACACAUAUUUUCAGUAAUUCGUUCAUUCAAGUGGGAAAACUAUAUUUAAAAAUAAAGGUGGAAUGAAAUUGUGAUUAGCCACCCAAAAUCUCCAAGUGUUUCUCUUGAGGCUGCCUCAGUUUUCUUGUCCUGAAGGUGGCGUCGGUGUAUUCUCUAUAAACUACUUUCUUAUACCUAGAGCCCAGUCUGUUCUUUCCUGUCCCCACAAACAAACUGCCAGGACUGAGACAAGAAUCUGGUUACCAAAGCCAUCCAAAUGCUGCAACAUCAACAAAACUUUGUAGAACAUGCAUCUACCUUUUCUCCUCAGUCGUGUUGAAGUUCUGCAAUUCCC
This is a long non-coding RNA of Pimephales promelas (fathead minnow), 1071 nucleotides long. RefSeq lists it as uncharacterized. NCBI's taxonomy places the organism in Eukaryota, Metazoa, Chordata, Actinopteri, Cypriniformes, Leuciscidae. The record is from RefSeq and is a predicted model, not a curated record.